CCUACGGGUGGCAGCAGUGGGGGAUAUUGCACAAUGGGGGAAACCCUGAUGCAGCGACGCCGCGUGUGGGAAGACGGUUCUCUGGAUUGUAAACUACUGUCGCCAGGGACGAAGAUGACGGUACUUGGGGAGAAAGCUCCGGCAAACAACGUGCCAGAAGCCGCGGUAUUACGUAGGGAGCGAGGGUUGCCCGGAAUUACUGGGUGUAAAGGGAGCGUAGGGGGGGCUGUAGGCUGGAUGGAAAAACUACCGGCUAAACUGGUAGUCGCACUCGAAACUGCAGCUCUUGAGUGAAGUAGAGGCAGGCGGAAUGCCUAGUGUAGCGGUGAAAUGCGUAGAUAUUAGGAGGAACACCGGUGGCGAAGGCGGCCUACUGGACUUUUACUGACGCUGAGGCUCGAAAGUGUGGGGAGCAAACAGGAUUAGAUACCCGAGUAGUC
Molecule: ribosomal RNA, 440 nt
Filed under: uncultured bacterium
Lineage: Bacteria
Description: partial 16S ribosomal RNA
Rfam family: Bacterial small subunit ribosomal RNA
Source: RNAcentral